RNAcentral lists this long non-coding RNA (245 nucleotides) under Nicotiana benthamiana. RNAcentral describes it as "long non-coding RNA (NBEN_LNC018317)". The record is from RNAcentral. Lineage: Eukaryota; Viridiplantae; Streptophyta; Magnoliopsida; Solanales; Solanaceae.
AGAUAGGGGCGAGCCGGGAGCUUACUUCGAGUAUUUAUGACUCUGGUGGCAACACGUGACAGGCGAAUGACAUGAUUCUCGAGGAGUUACACGACGGCCAUGUGAUGAUGCAUCAAAUAGAUGCAAGGGUGGAUGACUCAGUAGGUCCUUGUAUGGGCUGAUUGUGUUCCCCACAGGGAGAGCUUUAAAGGAAAUAGGAGUGGACAUCUAUAUGGGCUUCAUGUGAUUCGAAGCCAACCACUAUG